Molecule: ribosomal RNA, 445 nt
Filed under: uncultured bacterium
Lineage: Bacteria
Description: partial 16S ribosomal RNA
Rfam family: Bacterial small subunit ribosomal RNA
Source: RNAcentral
GUGAGGAAUAUUGGUCAAUGGGCGAGAGCCUGAACCAGCCAAGUCGCGUGAAGGAAGAAGGAUCUAUGGUUCGUAAACUUCUUUUGCAGGGGAAUAAAGUGCGGGACGUGUCCUGUUUUGUAUGUACCCUGAGAAUAAGGAUCGGCUAACUCCGUGCCAGCAGCCGCGGUAAUACGGAGGAUCCGAGCGUUAUCCGGAUUUAUUGGGUUUAAAGGGUGCGUAGGUGGUUUGAUAAGUCAGCGGUGAAAGUUUGCAGCUUAACUGUAAAAAUGCCGUUGAAACUGUCGGACUUGAGUGUAAAUGAGGUAGGCGGAAUGCGUGGUGUAGCGGUGAAAUGCAUAGAUAUCACGCAGAACUCCGAUUGCGAAGGCAGCUUACUAAGCUACAACUGACGCUGAGGCGCGAAAGCGUGGGGAGCAAACAGGAUUAGAAACCCCAGUAGUCC